RNAcentral lists this ribosomal RNA (496 nucleotides) under uncultured bacterium. Its description in RNAcentral is "partial 16S ribosomal RNA". It matches the Rfam family "Bacterial small subunit ribosomal RNA", at positions 29 to 507 of the family's 1533-position model. The record is from RNAcentral.
AUGAACGCUGGCGGCGUGCCUAAUACAUGCAAGUCGAGCGAACAGACAAGGAGCUUGCUCCUCUGACGUUAGCGGCGGACGGGUGAGUAACACGUGGAUAACCUACCUAUAAGACUGGGAUAACUUCGGGAAACCGGAGCUAAUACCGGAUAAUAUAUUGAACCGCAUGGUUCAAUAGUGAAAGACGGUUUUGCUGUCACUUAUAGAUGGAUCCGCGCCGCAUUAGCUAGUUGGUAAGGUAACGGCUUACCAAGGCAACGAUGCGUAGCCGACCUGAGAGGGUGAUCGGCCACACUGGAACUGAGACACGGUCCAGACUCCUACGGGAGGCAGCAGUAGGGAAUCUUCCGCAAUGGGCGAAAGCCUGACGGAGCAACGCCGCGUGAGUGAUGAAGGUCUUCGGAUCGUAAAACUCUGUUAUUAGGGAAGAACAAAUGUGUAAGUAACUAUGCACGUCUUGACGGUACCUAAUCAGAAAGCCACGGCUAACUACGUG